UCGACGAGACCUUCGGGUCUAGUGGCGCACGGGUGCGUAACGCGUGGGAAUCUGCCCUUAGGUACGGAAUAACAGUGAGAAAUUACUGCUAAUACCGUAUGAUGUCGCGAGACCAAAGAUUUAUCGCCUAGGGAUGAGCCCGCGUUGGAUUAGCUUGUUGGUGGGGUAAAGGCCUACCAAGGCAACGAUCCAUAGUUGGUCUGAGAGGAUGAUCAGCCACACUGGGACUGAGACACGGCCCAGACUCCUACGGGA
Molecule: ribosomal RNA, 255 nt
Filed under: uncultured Sandarakinorhabdus sp.
Lineage: Bacteria; Pseudomonadati; Pseudomonadota; Alphaproteobacteria; Sphingomonadales; Sphingosinicellaceae
Description: partial 16S ribosomal RNA
Rfam family: Bacterial small subunit ribosomal RNA
Source: RNAcentral